This 449-nucleotide ribosomal RNA is filed under the name uncultured bacterium. RNAcentral's name for it is "partial 16S ribosomal RNA". It matches the Rfam family "Bacterial small subunit ribosomal RNA", at positions 29 to 523 of the family's 1533-position model. The record is from RNAcentral.
AACGAGCGCUGGCGGCAUGCCUAACACAUGCAAGUCGAACGAGAUCUUCGGGUCUAGUGGCGCACGGGUGCGUAACGCGUGGGGAUCUGCCCUUUGGUUCGGAAUAACAGUUGGAAACGACUGCUAAUACCGGAUGAUGACGAAAGUCCAAAGAUUUAUCGCCAGAGGAUGAGCCCGCGUAGGAUUAGCUAGUUGGUGUGGUAAAGGCGCACCAAGGCGACGAUCCUUAGCUGGUCUGAGAGGAUGAUCAGCCACACUGGGACUGAGACACGGCCCAGACUCCUGCGGGAGGCAGCAGUGGGGAAUAUUGGACAAUGGGCGAAAGCCUGAUCCAGCAAUGCCGCGUGAGUGAUGAAGGCCUUAGGGUUGUAAAGCUCUUUUACCCGGGAUGAUAAUGACAGUACCGGGAGAAUAAGCUCCGGCUAACUCCGUGCCAGCCGCCGCGGUAA